UACGUAGGGUGCAAGCGUUGUCCGGAAUUAUUGGGCGUAAAGAGCUCGUAGGCGGUCUGUCGCGUCUGCUGUGAAAACUCGGGGCUUAACCCCGGGCCUGCAGUGGGUACGGGCAGACUAGAGUGCGGUAGGGGAGACUGGAAUUCCUGGUGUAGCGGUGAAAUGCGCAGAUAUCGGGAGGAACACCGGUGGCGAAGGCGGGUCUCUGGGCCGUAACUGACGCUGAGGAGCGAAAGCAUGGGGAGCGAACAGG
This 253-nucleotide ribosomal RNA is filed under the name uncultured bacterium. RNAcentral's name for it is "partial 16S ribosomal RNA". It matches the Rfam family "Bacterial small subunit ribosomal RNA", at positions 524 to 776 of the family's 1533-position model. The record is from RNAcentral.